UCCUACGGGAGGCAGCAGUAGGGAAUCUUCCGCAAUGGGCGAAAGCCUGACGGUGCAACGCCGCGUGAACGAUGAAGGUUUUCGGAUCGUAAAGUUCUGUUAUGAGGGAAGAACAAGUGCCGUUCGAAUAGGGCGGCACCUUGACGGUACCUCACGAGAAAGCCCCGGCUAACUACGUGCCAGCAGCCGCGGUAAUACGUAGGGGGCAAGCGUUGUCCGGAAUUAUUGGGCGUAAAGCGCGCGCAGGCGGUCUCUUAAGUCUGAUGUGAAAGCCCACGGCUCAACCGUGGAGGGUCAUUGGAAACUGGGAGACUUGAGUGUAGGAGAGGAAAGUGGAAUUCCACGUGUAGCGGUGAAAUGCGUAGAUAUGUGGAGGAACACCAGUGGCGAAGGGGACUUUCUGGCCUACAACUGACGCUGAGGCGCGAAAGCGUGGGGAGCAAACAGGAUUAGAUACCCUGGUAGUCCACGCUGUAAACGAUGAGUGCUAGGUGUUAGGGGUUUCGAUGCCCUUAGUGCCGAAUUUACCACU
Molecule: ribosomal RNA, 532 nt
Filed under: uncultured bacterium
Lineage: Bacteria
Description: bacterial SSU rRNA
Rfam family: Bacterial small subunit ribosomal RNA
Source: RNAcentral